Molecule: ribosomal RNA, 424 nt
Filed under: Verrucomicrobiota bacterium
Lineage: Bacteria; Pseudomonadati; Verrucomicrobiota
Description: Verrucomicrobia bacterium partial 16S ribosomal RNA
Rfam family: Bacterial small subunit ribosomal RNA
Source: RNAcentral
UGAGGAAUAUUGGUCAAUGGACGAGAGUCUGAACCAGCCAAGUAGCGUGCAGGAUGACGGCCCUAUGGGUUGUAAACUGCUUUUGUUUGGGAAUAAUCGACAUUACGUGUAAUGUUUUGCAUGUACUAUUCGAAUAAGGACCGGCUAAUUCCGUGCCAGCAGCCGCGGUAAUACGGAAGGUCCUGGCGUUAUCCGGAUUUAUUGGGUUUAAAGGGAGUGUAGGCGGUUGGUUAAGCGUGUUGUGAAAUGUAGAUGCCCAACAUCUGACUUGCAGCGCGAACUGGCUGACUUGAGUACACGCAAGGUAGGCGGAAUUCAUGGUGUAGCGGUGAAAUGCUUAGAUAUCAUGAAGAGCUCCGAUUGCGAAAGCAGCUUACGGGAGUGUUACUGACGCUUAAGCUCGAAAGUGCGGGUAUCGAACAGG